This is a long non-coding RNA of Parus major (Great Tit), 23706 nucleotides long. RefSeq lists it as uncharacterized. Lineage: Eukaryota; Metazoa; Chordata; Aves; Passeriformes; Paridae. The transcript has 2 exons. The record is from RefSeq and is a predicted model, not a curated record.
GUCGUGCCCGCGCCCCGCGGCGCAGCCCCAGCCCCGCGGCGUGUUUACAUCGCUCGGGAGCGCGCUGGGAGAGCCCUCGGUACAGCGUUGCUCUCCAGAGCCCUGGGUAAAAUGGAAGACAAAAGCAUUGAUCUGAACUCGUCAUGGCAGGGAGCUUUCUGCUGGUGUUUCUGUUCGUUUGUUUGCUUUGUUUUUGUUGUUUUGUUGGGGUUUUUUUCCCCUCUGAGUAUUUCAGCAUUACUUUAAACAAUAUAAAGCCUAUUCAGUUGUUGGGAAGAAAACUCUAGACUUUAUUUUUUAUUUUUUUUUUGCAUGUUGACUUACUUCGUUUCUAGUGAAAAACUUUGGGUAUGUUUGUAAUGGAUAAGAGUAAAGACAAGACGUAGUGAGCAGGCAGUUGUGCAAGCUCAGUGUUGUGAUAACAAAACCCUUUGUUACUGGAAAAUCCCUGGGCAUUAAAAUGGAAAGGAACUUUAAUGGUGGAAGUUUGGGGGUUUGGGGUUUGUUUUUAUUUGUUUGUUUUUGGUGUUUUGUUGGUUUUUUUUGUUUGUGUACUUUUUGUGUGUUUACUAUUGAAGUCUGGAGUAGAAGUGGGUAACCUGAUUUGCAUAGGCCGGGUGCUGCCCACAUAGCAUUCUGGCUUCCCAGGGAUCUGCAGUGGGUGCUUCCAGCUGUAGGAGCAGGGCCUCUGCCUGACCUACCCAGUUCUGAUUGUUGGUUUCACCUUUCAAUUCUUGUGUCUUACCUCACUAUUAUUUUAGACUUCACAAUCCAAAUCUGUUAUGAGUGUUUGACCAUUAUUGUUAGUGGUUUUAUUUUUUAGUUGAGUGCAUUAGUUUUGAUGGGAAGUAUUUUAGCCUAACUGUAAAGAUAAGUAUGGAGUAAGAUGUUUGAAGUACUUCAGAUGACAAAACACUGCAUUCUGUACUUCAUGGUAACUGUACUGCUAUUAGUUUGUGCAAUUAAAUUACACUACAACACAGAGUGUUUACUUCCAUUUUACUGAAUUCUCAUAUUACAAAAUACAGUAAUUUUUAGGUUGCAGAAGGAGUUUCCUUCAGAACCUCUGUCUCUCUCUUUGUUAGCAUUUAAAAAUUAAAUGCUGCUAGAGCCAAAAAGCUCAGAUGUUUAAUUACUCAGUAUAUUUAACAGCAAAAAGCUCUGUAAUGAUACAACUCCUGUAACUAGGAGAAAAAAAUUGCCAUCAUUGACAUACUUCUGGGAAAGACCAGGAUUCACUUAGCAUGAAAGACUGAUAAUAUAUGGGCACUAUACAAAUAAUUAAUUAUUAGAAACAAUGUUUGGUUUACUGUCAGUGAAUGUUGAUUGUAAUCUAUUCAUAUGAUACAUGGCAACUAAAAACUAAAGAAAUAUAAAAUGUGAUGGAGUUUUAAUGUUUUGAAUUUUUUAUUUGCAUUGUUGAACCAUUGCAUUUGCAUAGUUGUUUUCUAGUUUUGCAUGUUAAGUGUUCUCAGUAGCUUGUCUUCCAGACUAUAGCACACUGAACAUGAACUUGUUUGAAGGGAUAACAGAAGAAUAUCCAGCUUUGAAUUCUAAAGGUGAUGUUAUGCCCUUGAUCCAUGCAUGGAGCUUUUGGAAUUGUGUGGAUCAAGGGCAUACUAAGGUCCCUGGAAGAACAAUGAAGGGUAACACAGCUUCCCCUGAUAACUAUACUUACUAGUUCAUGAAGUGUAAUUUGAAACCUCUUGCACUGUCUAUGGUCAGCGCAGUAAAUGCUGCUCACCCAACUAUGGCACUUAGAUUCUUCUCAUUUAUUGUAGCUUUCCAUUAUAGUCAAAUAUCUUUAUUACUUGUUACUUAACUUAGGAAAUGAAGUGGAAUAAAACCAUGAGUAUGUGAACGCCAGUAGCAGAUGAGAGCAAAUGUUUUGAAGUAUUUCUGGGCUGAAGCUGCAGGUGAAUGAAAUCUGAGUGGUAGUGGUUUCUUAAGCUGGGUCACCAGAAGAGGAAAUCGGGCUUGUGUAGCAGACAGGGCAAGAUACAUUGUGUAUACAGAAGAUGGAAAAGUUUCAGUGUACUCCAUUAGGGGUUUAUUUCUAUGGCCUUCUCUUUCAGGUUCUCCUAAUAGGCAUUGGGUUUUGACUGGAGGACCAAAACCAAAAGUUUUCCUUUGGUAAUGAGAUGCUUCAGGAUUCUGGCUCCAUUUUGAACUUCAUUUGUUUUAAAUGCUUUCACAGUUUUCCACAGGGCACCCCAACCUACAAAUUCUGAGGGCAUUUUAGAAUAGUAAUAUGAAAGAUGAAAAAUCUUUCAUCUGAUAUCUGGAGAGACACAGUUAUCAGUUGCCAUAAAAGUUGCUCUAAUUCCUCAUCCUAAUAUCAAUUUAAUUAUUCUCUUCAUUUUCUGUUGGGAUUUUUUUCAGCUUCUCAAUUUACAGUAGUUGAGAACUUUUGCAACCUAGAAGUUAAAAAUAUCAACAUGUAGUAAAUUACAUUUUUUUAAAAAGGCCACAGGAAAUCUUCUUUAACUUGUUGCAAUUAAUGUAGUAAAAUCAUAGCUUUAUUAUUAUUCAUUAUCUUGAAAUAAUUUGUGAAAGUAACAUGAAACACAAGUACAACACAUCUGAAGUUUAAAAAAGGUCACGUAACUUUUUAAUUUGUCAAGUGAAUCUGGUACUUUCAAAAUCAUUGAUUUUACAUGAAACAGGAAUAUUUUAUCUUUUCUAGAACUACUUUCCAAACUAGAAUGAAUGUCAGCCCUGCAAAACUAUAUAGUUUGUAGAAAGUUUUGUGUGUGUUUUACUUCAGGUAACACAAUAAUACAGAUUUUAAAAUUAAUUAUGAUGUAUGGCUCUGAAUUAUUUGUCCUAUUAGAUAUGCAAAGGAAUGUCAUACACAGCAGCAAGAGGUUUGGCUAUAAAUUAAUAGUAAUCCCACUUAAUGUUUUGUUUGUGGUUUUUGUUGGGUUGUUUCCCGCCACAGAUUCAAUAGUACUUAGGUGUGAUGUCUUAUUUCUUUGUUACCACCAGACUGGAUAAGAGACCAGGUGAUUAGAAUAUACUCCUUAGGUACUGGAAGAUUUGUAAACCUUCUCUUCUUCCAAUAAAUCUUGAUGAUGUGGGCUUGGCUUCUGAAUUUUAUUUUCUGGGAUUCAGAUGGUCUUUGCUGCUUUUUCUGUGGCAGUAUGUGGUACCAAGUUGCUCUUAAAAUGUAUUUUUAAAGGAAACUAUACAUAAUUUUCAAAUCAUGAUUCUGUACAUGUAUCUUCUUACCUAGUAGCCAGAUCUCCAGUUCUGUUAGUCCAGCAUGAUUUUACUAACUUUGACUUCUGUGGUCUUUAAAUAGCCAAGUACAGCAUAUGUGAUGUGUAUUCUGCAUGUGAGUUUUAUGUUCAUUCACUCCUCCUUCUCCUCAAAGUGUUCCCUACAGUAGCUUCAGUAUGACAGAGUUCCCAUUAUAGUCAAUUCUUUGCUUUUUAACUCUUAUAAUUAUUCUUUAAGUAGUGCUUCUUUGAAGUGUGCUUGACAGGAAGAUGCAGUCUUCUACUUUUUCUUUUUCCUGUAGAUUUUAACAUCCUCUGGGUUCAUUUCUUAAAAACUAAGGGUUUGUUUUUUUCAUAUUUUUCAUGUGUAUUCACUGCUGGGUCAUUCUGUUGUAUUUUCUUGCUGAAGACCAAAAGAGACCACAAGUGUAGCUCUUGUUAAGACUAGAUGAGACAAGGCUCUAUCACUGCUGACCUUGGUUAGAUUAAAAUUGGUGAAGUAGAGGUGAAAAGCCCUGUAUCCAUUGCUAUCCCAAGGUAGCUGAUUCCCUGUCACUUUUCCAGAGACUCUUGCCUUGAGUGUUUUUGAUCAGAGUGUAGUUUUAUUCAACAGAAAGUAUCUUUUUUCUUUUGCUCAUUAUGUUUAGCUCUCCAGUUUUGAAAUGGGUAGCUUUUGGAGCCUUGUGCUUGGAUCAGAACAUCAGCUAAAAUAUCUGUUGUAUAAAGACUAAUUAACAAUAUAUAUUGGAGUGAUGCUGGAAUGGUCUGCAUGAAUAACAUCUCUAAAGCAACGUAUGCAAAGCUUAUUUCCCACUAGGUUGUGGUUGUAUCCUCUAUUAAUUAGAUAGGUUUCAGCAAUAAGAAAAAAAAGAAAUAGUUGUAAUUACUUGCUGAAGAAAUACCUGAAAAUCCCUCUGCAGUAAUCACCAACGUAAGACUACCAGUAUGCACUGUGUGGAGAGAGGCACCAUCUGAAAAUUCUGCUUUAAUUAAAAACAAAAUGCUUCACAGCUUGGACUAGCAAAGAGAGAGGUUAUCACUCAUUAAAGAUAGCCACGUGGUAGCAUAACAAAAGGUCAGAAGGGCCUCCAAGUGAUAAAUUGGUUUGUAUUUAGCUGUUGUGGUUAGGCCUUUAUUACAGGCUCAGACUACUUGAAAGACAGAGUAUUUUAAAUUACUUGGCAUUCCCUUCUUGCUGGGUUUGUUUAGUGUUUGUUCAUCUACCCAUCCACAUAAGCAGAAGUUGCAGAAGUGACAUAAUCUAAAGUAGGUUAUGUAGAUAAUAUUAUUAUAGAUUAUGUAGAUAAAUCUUGAAUAAUGCUGGGAUUUCUCAUAUUCUUUCAAGUCACUUUGUUCCUUAGCCUAAUUAAGGCUAUGCUGUGCUGCAAAAAUGAAGCUCUCAUUGCAGAAUUCUGCAAGGAGCAGAAUGUAAGGAGGCAGCAGUGCAGCUUACGGUGUGGAGUGGAAGGCUCUGCUCUUUUCCCCACCACACUGGCAGUGUGUGGUGAAGACACACCACAGUCUUCAGACAGUGAAACUUCUUCUGGAGCUGACACAUCCCUUCUUUGGACAGAGCUCGUUUGGAAAGACUUUUGGACGGACGUCAGAUUUUGUUUUCUGCCUGCAUCAUUUCUAGACAUCAUAAGGGACUUGUUUGUCCAGAUUCCUUUUUUUUUUCCAAAAUACAGUGGUUGGUUUAAUAAAGAAUAUUGUUUCUGCUAUACAGUUCCAGAUCAGAUCUGAGUAACUGGUUUGGUUUGUUUUAUUUAAUCAGUGCUUCUAGCAUUUAAGCUUGCAAAGUUUUCAGUGUUAGGAACCUUGAGUCAGUGGGGAUUUUCUUUAUAAACUUGUGAAAUCUAGGGCUAAAACUUGGUAAAAAGUCUACCCUCCAGUGCUGCUCUCAAGCUUUGCCUUUGUUUCAGAUACAAGGUGCUAUUUCAUAAGCAUUUCUUUCAUUUGCAGGUCUGCUUUUCUAUCCCCAGCUACUUCUUUUCCUGCCUCUGUGCCCUCAAGUGUGCUGGAGUAACUGUUUAUGAGACAGCAAGGUGAACUGAAUUUGAGAUUGAUCUAGGUUAAAAAUAACCCUACAAAAAAGGGAAAGCAGGAGGGACUUCAGUUAACCUGGAUUUGGCUUCCUGAUCCAGUUCACUGCAGCCACACAAGCAGUUGUACCAGUGCAGGUGGGAUAUGGCACAGAGAAGAGAGUGGAUAGCAGGCAUUAAAUAGGAGCUGUCUGACCUACUGCUGUUGCCAAAAGGAGAGCUGUGAUUUCAGGCUGUACUGCAAGUAUUUUCCUACCAUAAGCAGUUUCUCUGCUGUGAGGUAGAAAUGCUUCCUGGGAAAUGGGAAAGAGAACAAAGUAGCAGUGGAGCUCUGAGGAGGUAAGUGAAGUAAGGAGUGUGUUGUCUUAGAGUUGCAAAACUAGAAGAAAAAUUCAGUUUGGUUUUUUGUUGGGUUUUUGGUUGGUUGGUUGGUUGGUUUCUUGUUUUUUUUUUAACCUUCCCCUUCAAUGUUUGGGAAAGGAUUACACACAUUUUACUUCUUUGUGUUAUCAUGGUGUUCAGGAGGGCUAGUCAUGAGCUAGGACCCCAUUUUGUUAGUACAAACAAUAUGUAAUUUGUUCUCUGAAGUCCCCCUGUUGUGUUUUGGAAAAUAAGGUGAAUGCUGACAGGAAAUGAAAGUGAGACUCUUAAUUUGUGUAGCAGAAGAAUUGGUAUACAGCAGUUUAGAGGGUGUGCUAUGCAGGGAGCUAAAGGGAGAUACUGCCCUGCCUGUGGUGUUGGGAUCAGCAGUGGUAAACAAGAGUCUCUUCAGGGCUCGUUUGAGCCUCUCUUUGGCAUCUCCCUUGCUGUUUCUUCCACAUCUCAGCAGAAUCACAUCCGCUAAGAGUAAGGUUUCACGAAACAGCUGAGCCCAGCUGGUGACUUGCACUGUUGAAAAAUCAGGUUUUAAUCCUAGACCCUUCACAGGUCACAAUUCAAGCGUUUCUCCAAUCCAUUGUUAAGGUCUUUAACAUAGGCAGAAAACAAUGCAGGUUUUAUCUCUUUGGGUUAUCUGUAAUUAUUUUUGCGCACCAAAUCUAUUCACUGAGGUGUCAGAUGGCAAAAGACAGAUUCAAAUUAAGCACUGAAAGCACAUUCAUUGGCAAUUAAAUGGUCAAGUGGCAAGAAAAAGGAGUCUAUAUUUUCUAGCAUUGAGCUCUUUAAGACCUCACCCUGAUAACUUCUUGAAAAAAGAUAUUGCUCCAAACUACCACUUUGUCAUCUGUAUUUGUUUAAAUAAGAAAUUACUUCAAGACUUUUUUGGUGAGAGUGUUAUCACCUAGCAGUUGACAUCUAGAGCUAUAUGAAGGUAGAGAAAGAUAGAGUAAAACAUUGCUUGUUUCUACACUUGCCAUAUGGAUCUUUAAGACAACAGCAUUUUAAGAGGUUUGUGGGAUUUUUUUCUGUUCAAGUUUUUCAUUUUGUAUUUCUUUGGUUUUGUUGUUCGGUUGUUUUUUCCAAUUUGCUAUUCAGAGUAAGAAAUGUAAUUAAGUUUUUAUUUCUUCUAUUAAAUUACUUUCUGCUUUUCUGUGCCCAGAAGUAGAACAUGUUAGCUGGCUUCUGGUAGAAUGAGUUCUGGUGCAUAUUCCUUGUUAUACACGUAGUAAGGGUUAGGCUAACUUCUUAGCACUAUGCUGUGCAGUAAAGGUAUGGAAACACCACCUUGGUGUUUGUUCUGUGUGGGUUUUUAAAGCCACAGGUUUUGUUACUUCAGAAUAAACAACCAGUUUCUGUACACUGGGAUGUCAUCUGUCUGUAGUUUUGAGCAAUAAUUUUGAGGGUUUUAGGAAAUACUUUUCAGUAAAUCAGGGAGGCAUAUAAAUAUGCUCUACAUGUAGGAGUUAAAUGGUUAUCCAGAUUCUGAGAAAGCAAAAAUCUUUUUUAUUACAUAGCUGAUCUUUACCUGAGAAAGCCUGAUGAGCAUUUUUAAGCUAAUUCCUCCCCUUAGGAAGGACAGAGGGGUGCUGUUCUGCUUCCACUGACCUUUUUCUUUAGAGAGUUACAGUAUUUCUGUGAUAGACUUGCAGUAAAGUUAGCAAGGUAUCUUACCUUGUGUCCUUUAAAAUGUUGCUAGGUGAGUGAAUAUCGAAACUGUUCCCACCAAACCUGGUUUGGUGAUUUGUAAAUGUAAUUGUUACUUUGUUAUUCCUUUGCCUCUUAUAAACUUGUAUCCUUUUGCUGAACUAUUGUAGAAUCUAAACUGAGGACAUCAGGAACUUUUUGUUUCUUUUAUUUCAGUCAGGUUAAACUGCUUCCAGGAAGUAUGUACUUAUUACCGUACUGCACUUGCUGCUAGCAUUUGUCUGUAAACCCACAGACAUCCACAGCUGCCAUGUGGCUCAAAAAAUUAAAACAAAGGAAAGUGCAGUUUUGGGAAGAAGAUGGAAACUUGAAAGAUGGAAAAGUCUGUUACUUUGCCUGUGCCCAGAAUCAGUUUGCUUUUCCCUCUCACAAAAUGACAUAAUUAAGGGUGUAUGUACUCUGCUACUUCAGCAGUUGCAUUGUUAUAGUAAUUAAGGUUAGUUUUGAUUACUAUAGUGUUAAGCAGUUUGAAUUCUUUGUCUUGUAGCAAGCAGCAGUAACAGUUUUAUUGUGUAUGUAAAUUAUGAUUGUUAAGCAUAUGAUAAUCUAGCCUUACUUUGCACAGGGUGAAAUUGUGAUUUAACUGUACCAAAGUCUAGCAUUAAAAUUAAGGUUUUUUAUGCAAAUUACCUGUAUUCUAGCAUUGUAUUAACUGACCUAUAGAUUAAUGUGAAGGAUGUAGGUUUUGAUCAGGGUUUCUCAUUGAAAAACAGGGUAGGUGGUGAUUGAGAAGAGCAUUAUGUAGCUAAAAUCAUGCCAAGCCCAUUUGAAAGAUCAUGUUGUUACCCUCCAACAGGUAUGAUGAGAGGACACGUUUUCAUUAACUUGUUGAGGACUAUGUUACAUUGGACAGUUUUGAAAAAUUCAAUGCCUUUAGUUGUAUGUUUGUUCCUUGUGAAAACUUGUGUAGUGAGAAGCACACCCUUCAACUCCCAGCACCAGUUCUCUGCUCUGGCAGCUAUAGAUUAAGAAUUCUAAGGCAGUAGAGUGCAGCAGUGGGUGGUGUGUUCAAGCUGGAUUCUCUCUAUUGGCUGAAAAAUCUACAUUGUUGUGGUACGUGUUUAUGUGAACUGAACUUCAGAGAGAAAUUAGGUGCUGCAUCUUUUAGCUUAAUAUAAUGGCUUGUAUGAAUAUCAAAUUGCAAAACAAGCAACUUUGGAAAUUUAAGUGUACAGCAACUUUAUGGGAUGUGGAAUUGCCUGGGAGAUUGAGGGUGUGUAGUGCUUUGUAGUGGUUCUUAGGAUGUUUCCUGGUUCUUUUGCAAAUUAGCAAAUUUUUUUUCCCCCUUUGAAUUUCUUGAGGAUGAAUGAUCAGAUGCAAACAUGACACUAAAAAAAAUAGCCUGUUUUUCACACAGAUUGCACUAAUACCUAAGAAAGUUCAGUUUCUAUCUAAAUUUGGUCUAUUGUUAUGACAUGCUUUCUUCCAAAAAGAUUGCUCUUUUGAUACUACCUACCUCAUCAUCCAACUGUUCAUUUAAUAAUCAGAUGCAGAAUUUAUUUCAUUUGCAUAUUAACUUAGGUUUUUUAUAUUCAACUCCAAGGCAGGACAUUCUUGAACUUUAAAUGAAUGUGUUCAGAGUUUGGGUUUUUUCAAUUUCAGUUAACAUUUUUUGUUUUUAAGCAAAGCUACUACCAUGAGUUGGUGAUGAACAUCAAACAUUUUGCAUCUCAGGUGAACACUCAGGAAAAGGUUGACAAGGAUGGAAUGAUGUCCAUGUGAAGAAUUACUAUAUAAUUGCUAUGUAAGUGACAUCUCUUACCUAGAAUAGCUAGAGGGCAUGAUCUGUAAAACUGUGUGGCAUGGGGAGUGAGGAAUGUCCUAGCUUGCCUUUUUUAUGUAGCUGCAUUGCUUCUAUUGGCUUUUUCCUUAGGAACAGAUACCAAUUUAUUCCUAAUGAAACAUUAGAGCUGUCCUUGAGAAUGAGAAACUACAGAAAAUGAGGAUGGAGAAAAAACAGAUAACAGCUGGUAAAAGAAGGAACGUGAGUAGAGAAAUGUAAAAACAGGGAGCCAAAGGGAGCUCUGAGCAGAAUAUGGUUUGGGUCUGGUCCACAUACUCCCAUGCCAGAAAAGAGAGAUGAUGAAUGCUGGCCAGAGAUGCUCUGCCUGAGGAGGUACCACAGGUGUUGGGACAUCCUGAAAAGCUUCUUCCUCCCGGUAGCAGCUUGGUCAGAGGAGCAAGGUCUCUGAUGAAGAGAUCCUGCAUCAUGUGGGGCCUUAGAGAGGAAAUGUAUAAAUGUAAAGGUGAACCAAGAACAUUUUAAUAAGAAGUUUUGGAAAAGCUGAAGCAGAGGUUGCCAUUAAUCCCACUUGGGCCAUGGCAUGCAUGUAUUCCACCUUAUCCUAGAGGGAACUAGCUUUCAGGACCCCAGGCAGAGCAUUAUGGAUGUACUCAUAUCUUUAAUGUAUUUUUCCUGGCUGGGCUCUGGAUUUAGCCCAAAGUGCAUGCUGAUCCACAUGGCAUCAUGCCUCUCCUGAUGGUAGGAGAUCCCGUCUCCUGCUUUCUAUGCUGGGCAAAUGGUGAGAAAGUGAAGUUCGAGGGCAUAAUGGAAUUUUCCAAGAUGAGGUGUGAAGAUGAACAGGAUUCCAUGAAAUACUGAAAUACUACAUGGGGACAACAUGUAUCUCAUGGGACAACAAUCUUCUGCUGGGGUUACACUUGCCUUAGUCUUGUGAUUUAGUUCAGCUCUUGUUACACAGGCAGAGAGGACACCCCUGACUACCUUCAUGCCAGAUGCCCAAAGGUACAGUCUGUGGUUUUGUUCUGCCAGGGGUGCGAGGUGUACUUGGCACAUUGUAUAGUUUCAGACAGUUCUUGUGGGGUUUUGGGGGGUUGUUGGUUUGUUGGGGUAUUUGGUUGGUUGGUUGUUUUUUUUUUUUCAUGGAAGGUGUGUCUAGACACCUUGGUACACUCAGGAGCUAAAAUGGCAUUAGUUCACUUCAGAAGACUUGGGAUUUUUUUGAUAGUGGCUUUUAGCUUUUCUUUUGUGUUUUCUGUUUUUAAGCAGAUGCUUGAAACUAUGCUGUUUAUUAAAGAAAAACAUUUACUAAGUAAUUGACAACAGAAAUAUUGAACAUAAUUUGACCAAGUAAUUUGUUCUUUUUGACUUUUGACUGUAAGACAGUGUUGUGUGAUGAUUUGGUUGAAUCUUCAAACCAGUUAUAACCCCUAUUACUUGUUACUUUAGAGUGUUUUUUUCAGGACUUCUUUUAGAAGCAAUUUUAUAGUGUCUGCUGGGUAAGAGUCUUCAGAGUAGAACCUGACUUUUGCUGGUAUGAUAUUUUUGAAAAAUCCCAAAACAUGUUUGUAGUGUCUCCAGCUUGAGGUUUGGGGCUAUAAUUAUGAACUGUUCUUCAGCUUGCUACUUAUGGAGUACUUACCUGACCAAUUUUCUUUGGCAGUAAAGCUGACUUGAAAAAUGCCUGCCGUUAUCACCCCUGCUGCUCUGCUCAUAGCUACAAUUCACUGCUCCUCCUGUGCUGAUACAGUUGUUCAAGGACUGCUCUGUGUCUCACCACAGUGGUUAAGACCCUUGCUCUCACCUGGCACUGCUCUUUUAAUCCCUUAUUUCAUGGAACUGUCUUAAAACACUGCCCUACCUUGUGCAGGGCUAAUACAAAGGAGGGAUCCAAAACAAGCGGGAAAUGGUGUUGCAAGUGGCCUUUACCACUGAAGAAAACACACAGGAUUCACGGAAGGGAAGAAGAAAAUGCUACUGUUGCAUGGUGUCAAUAUCACCUUUUGGAUAUGUUAACAUGAGGUGCUUUUUAAUUUGAGGAACUCUUUGGAGCCUUCCCUUGAUUCUGAGAUGCUGCUGACUGACUUAGUAGUGCUAUGCAUCACCAUGCCAUUCUCAAAUACUAUCUGCAAGAGUUGUCCCAUUUUUUGCUUACAGCUGAGACUAAAAGUGUUUGUAUCAUUUUAGUUUUGUUUAAUGUGAUUACCCUCAUGGUCAUCAGCCCAAUUUAUUUUGACAAAGUUAUCAAAAAGAUCACCAGCCUUCCUCUUCAUAUUUUAAUUGCUUCAGAAUAUACUCAAGUAUUUGUUAGGACAAAUAAAACGGGAAGAUGACUAAAACAUAUGCAUUCCUUUUAGAUACAGCAUGUGAGUAGGGAGUAGCAGGAGGAAGAAGAGAUGUACAGAACUGUGCAGCAGCACAAUGAGAGAUGUGAAAGAAUCCAAUACCAGAGUUAACCUAAAUGGUAUGGUAAGACUAGAGCACUGGAAAUUUAGUAUGAUUUUUGGCAGGAAAAAUGAAGGCAUGUCUUGCAUUUAUCUUUUCUGCAGUUGAACUGAAUUCUUGCACUUAGUGGUGGAUACACUGAUUUUCUGCAGGAUGUAUUUUUCAUUUAAAGUAAAAAUAAAGUUCAUACCCUUACUGUCUCUUCUUUCAAAAAUAACUUGUGGUAGUUCUGCCUUUCUUUGUGUGAAAAUAAUUCCAAACAGAAAAUAGUAGUUGGCUGGUUUUCCACAGUUCUAUUCACAACACUAUAAUUUUCUCCACCAACUAAAUUGACUCAUUCAUUUCCGCUAAUACAUACAAACUUACUUGUUCUGCUGCCAGUCUUGUUGUUAAAAGGCCUAGCCCAAGACACAGUGGCUGAGAAAACAGAGCAGUAGAUGUUCAGUGUGGAAAGUGCAGUUCUUUCACAUACAUCCUUUUCUCUUCAGACUUGGACAUACAUUUUUCACCAAGAGAACUGUCAGCCACUGGAAUACUCUCCCCAGGGAAGUGGUGGAUUCCCCAACAGCAGGACACUGAAGUGCAGCUGCACAGGGUGCUGGGCCAUCUUGUUUACGGCAUGCUUUUGUCGAGAAAGGUUGGACCAGAUGAGCCUUGUGAUCCCUUCCAACCUGACAUUCUAUGAUUCUCUGACAUGUUACAGAGAAGCUGAGUAGCAGAGCUAGUCUGUUGAGCUUGAGAUUGUUUGAUACUCAUGCAGCACUAGAGAGAGGUUUAAAAAGUGACUGCAAAUUGGGAAGGAGACAAUAGACAGGUACACUUUUAAGAAAUAAAGGCAGGGUGAGAAUUUUGAUUCCUCUCAAAUGAUGUGAACAAGGUUGGAUAUUUUCAAGAAGACAAGAGUUAUAUGAAAAACACUUUUGAUUUCUUCUUGAAUGCACAUUUAAUAAUGAAAAGGAGACAUUUAGUGAGGGAAAUACAUUUGGGGAAAAUGUAUGCUUCAGUUGCAAAAGAUGGAAUAUAUUCAGUAUAUGGGUGUAAGCCACAAUACUGGCAACUUUGAGUCAGAGUAAAUGCUGAAGAAGGAAGAUGAGAGAAAGUUAAGAAAUAGUAUUAUUAGUCCCUAUUAAGUAUUUGCUAAUGAUACAGCUAUCAGCAAUAACAUUAUAGCACGAAGAGCAUUUUUCCUCUUCCAAAAUACAGAAGUACAUCAGCAUUGUGUGUUAAAAAAAACCUCCUCUUUGCGGCACUUCUUCCCCUGCUGAUGAGAGCCCAGUGGACCUCUAUUGCACUCCAAGGAUAUAAUGAAACGCUCGAUCUCCCUAUUUGUGAUUGCAUCAAGAAUUAUUCAAUGAAAGGCACCCAAAUACCAUUUCAUCACUGUGGGGAUAAAAAAAGCAGCAAUACCUACAGCUGAAAAUCAUAUGGUUUAAGCAACUUGUCACAGAACAAGGAUAGUGUCUGCUCUUCAAGGAUGGUAUUUAGUAGCCUUUGGCAACAGUUUGUCCUGAUGCUGCUACAGGCUACUUCAUCCUGCUUCCAAAGUUCUGUAGAUCUUUCCAAAGGAGCCGAACCGAUACAUUUCUUUCACUGCCUGAUGCUGAAUGAGUGCCAGGAUAGUUCCAUACAUUGUUCUGCAGGGAGUACCAGUCUGUGGAAAAAGGAAUACGUCUGUAUCUGUUGUUACAAAGAAUGUGUAAACAAGGACAUGCAGAGGUUAUUAAAAGAAUACUUAUUCUGACUUCUAAUGCCUUUUUGAAUGCCAAAAUGUGAAAUAAAAAUAAUGUCUUUAAAACAUAGUUUUCUGUUUGAAUUAUGUAGACAAGUACUUGUUUAUACAGUUUGAUUUGUAAAUGUCUUCCUGUAAAAAGGCAGUAAAUUUUAUUAGUCAGUUAUUGUCUUUAUUCAUAAAUACUCCUAAUUAGUAUGACAAUAGGUUGAUAGCAGUUUAGUUGACUUUAUCCAGUGUCCCUUGAAUUCCUGGUUGUUAUUUUUAGAAUGUAAAAUAAAGCUUAGAGGUAAUACAACAGCAUUUUCAGUGACACAGUUUGUAGCUUGCACAUUUUUAUGUUCAAGUUAGAGAAAUUUAUUAAAAAUGUUGGGAAGAAAGUUUGUAUAAAUAUUAUAUCAAAGACAAUUUGGGAUCAUAAGAAGGGACUAGAUACUGUGAUAAGCUUUUGCUCUCUGAAACUCUUAGGGAGAUUUUUUUACUAAACUCAGAAGUACUCCUAAAAAUCUCAUUAGAAGCCCACCCAUCAUUGUUUUGUACAAAUAACAGAAAUGUGUUAUGCUCUGGUAUCACGGUAUGAAAAUUGUUUGUAGAUACUAUUCAUCUCUUAUCCGAGGUCAAACUGCAGUAUUUGUUGACCUUCCUACUUAGGCUUGAUGCACUGAAAAUCUGGGCUGUUAAACUUGGGAGUCAUAUGAUUGUCUAAAUCCUUACUUCUCAUUCGCGAUGUUCCAGAAAAACAAGGCAGAGGCAAUGCAAUCAGGCUUAACAGUCCUAUUGCUUUUAACCAUUUCUGAGUUUCUGUUAGGGAAAGUGUAGCUUUUGGGAAAACAGCAAGUUUUUUUAAUUAGUUGGCACUAUUAAACACAUUUCAUCUGUAAACUGGCAAAUAACUGCAAAUACUUAUUUAACAGUUAACUCUUUAGAAGACCUAGGCAUACAGCAAUAUAGUGAGGUGACGACUUAUAAUUACCCUAGGCUUGUAGUAAUUCUAGUAACUUAAAAUAAUGUGUAUCUUCAUUUUUUGCCAGUCAAACAUUUAAAUUGGUGGUCUGUUACAGAGAGAAAACUAUACCUUAUUUUAUGGCAAUUAGUAUAUCAAUUUACUUCACGUUCUCAAAGUGCUUAUUAAUUUUAGCUCAAAAUAGAUCAAAUGUACCACAUGUGACUGCUGUAUCAUAAUACUACAUUUCUAUUUUUAAACCUAAAUGGACUCUGGGAAAGUACUUUGCAAACUUUUGGCUUCCAUUGCAGAGCAGGUUUCCCAUGUGUUCCUGGGUAAAGUGCCUCCUAAUGGGGUCCAGGAGUAUCUGUUUGUCUUUCUGGCCAUGUUUCAAGCUUUUAUGUUAGUUAAUUAAAAAACCCUGAAGCAAAGUCAGGUGAAUUGUUUAAAUUCUUCUUCAAAAUGAGCAAGCUGGGGAAACUUCAUCUUCUUCAUUUCAGUCCUAAAAAUGUCCAGAUAUUGCAAGGGAGAAUGAAAUUUAUGCUGGAAGUCAUGAGCUCAAAAUCAUAUUAAUGGUAUUUUGUUUUGAGAAUGUUUUCUCUGUGAACUUAUAUUCAACACAAAAAAAAAUUAAAAUUUGUUUUCCUGUAAGUGACAGGCUUUUCAAAAUUUACUAAUCUCAUAUUAAAAAUAAGUCUCCUAUUAAAAAACAUGUCAACUACUGGAAAACAGUCUUUACCUUUUUUACUCUGCUGUUGUGGAGUCAUGGCUCGAAAGCUAUGUAUAGGUUAAUAUUAAUUUUGUAAUGGCCAUUUGGGAUCUCUUUAUCCCCUCUGCACAUGGUCUGAGUUCAAUAUUAGGACUUUCCUCUCAGAAUCUCUCGCCAAAUCAUCACAGUCAUGAAAAUGGAUAGAGUUGCCUAGGCAGUGAGGAAUUUUAGUCAUUUCUAGGUUGAAGGCAGCUGUAGAAUGCAGCAGAUAAGUCUUAGAGCAGGUGAAAUGGUUACUAAGGUGUUGGUUCCAUGGCUCUGUCAGAGCAUGCAGUGGUGUUGUACACUGACUGUAGAUGGGCUUUUCAGCCUAAAUGUGUGUAAUUGCCGCUUGUAGUAAUUCAGUCUGAGAGUUACAAAGACAAAAAUACCAAUGACAAGCAGCACCAUAGAUACCAGUAUUUAAUAACUCAUCAUAAAGGAAUAUUAUUUUUGCAGUCUGAGCUGCAUCAUAAUUUGAGAUCCAAGGGAGUACCCUUAGGUGACAAACACUGGCAGACGCAAUCCACGAUAAACUUUGGAUGUUUUGAUUGCUUAGCCUGUGAGCCAAGGAGCAGAAGUGCUUUUCUGAAGUAGCUUUUCAUGCUGCAGUCUUGGCUCUGGCUGAAGAGAUAGCACCCCAAGGUCAGAUUUUAUUUUUUUUUUGUUUCAUAUGAAGACAUCAACAUAUUAAUGAUGUUAAUAAAACCACUAAGUUUUACAGCUUAAAUGUCUUAAUCAGCAUCUGUAGCAACAUCAGAUAAAAAUGAAGGAUAGCAAAACAAGAUCUGUUAGACAUUAGUGUUUCAGGGGUCCCUUUUCUUAGCAUGCCCAAAGCGUAUCUGUAGUUUGGUGUUCAUUUCCCAAGUCAGUUAUAGCCAAGUCAUAAGUUGCUAAAAUACUGAAGAAUAUUAAAAGUGGGUGUUUCAUCUUUCCUUUAUGCCCAGUUGGCAGUCAGUAACUAAAUUGAGCUUUCAUUUCAGUUUGAGAACUGAAGAGAGUUGAGAUAAUAAGAUUGUGUUAAAUCAGUUUUUGGUCUUUGACCUUCUAAAAUUAAUGUCUAAAACAGAAUUAAGGAUAAAGUUGUAUAGAGACAUGGAGUAUUGUCCUUUAAAUUUAAAUGGCUGAAAAAUUGGGGCAGCGAGAGGUUAGGCUAUUUUCUUCUCCAUGUACAGUGAUAGGCCAGACCUUUUUAUUUAGAAAAAUUUUGCCUACACUACACUCUUGGAGGCUUGCAUUGUAAAACUUUUUUUUUUUUUGUAGUAACAUGAGAGAAUAAAACUCUUCUAAUUGUUUAAGGCUGCUGGUGAAGAUGCCUUUUCUUGCUCUUUAAUAUACCCCCAAGCUCAGGUUUUGCCUUCACUCGCUGUAGUGGUUUCAGAUGCAGAGCCCUCACUCUGUCCUUCCUUAGCUCCUUGUUUCAGUUUUACCUCUGCUUUGUGCCAGCUCCCUAAUGCAGUCUUGCAUCAGUUCUCAAUUCUUUGCCUGUUAGCCCUUCCUCUGCUUUUUUUUUGCCUUUCCUCCCCCCAGUUCCGUUGCGAAAUUCUAAUUUUUGACCAAGUGUUGGUGACAUUCCGGUGUAUCCUAAUAUUGUUAUGUUCCCUGUGCUUGUGUCAUAGUUGUUCCUGAAGUGGACACUUACUGGCAAAGAAAAGAACAUUUUAAUUUUAAGCUGUGUUUUAAUGGCUCACUAACUACUUGUAAGCAAAGAAGUGGCCUAAUUUCCUUAAUCUUUCAUAUUUCAACCUGUUUAAGCAAUAAUUAAAGUUUCUGGUGUAAAUAUGUCUUAAAAAGAUCUAUUUCACUCAAUAUGUUUUCUUAGGAGUCCUUAAUUUGGGCUUUAUUUGAUUUAGGACAAAAAUCAGACUUUAUUGAAUGUGUCUUUUUUAUGUGUACUUAUAAUUCUCUUAAUUUUUAAUAUGUGAGCCAAUUUAUGUUGUUUACAGUCAAAAGUAUGAUGGUAAUCCAUCUUCUUGUCUGAUGCAAAAGAAAAUUAACAACAAUGUUUGAACUUGAGGAUGUCAAUUUAAGCAUGAAACAUCAAAAAAAAAAGUCUUCUUUUUAAUUUAAACAAAAACCAGUCAAUUUUAUUUUAAAUUGUUUCCAUGUGUAUGACUGAGUUGUCUGUUGAAUUUCAGGCUACCAAUUAUUUUUAGACUACAUAAAUUAAUGAGAACAGAUGGCAUGUAUGAUUAGAAAUUUUGGCAUAUUGAGCAGUCAGGCUGAACUGAAAAAUACUUUAAUGUAUAAUAUGUGGAACAAAAUUAUAUCAAAAAGGUAUUUGCAAAACCAGAGGUGCAGAAGAAUUCUAUGAAGAAAAGCAGAGAGGAUACCUGAGCUCAGCCUCUACAGCACACUGCACAGGACAUGAGUAAGAGGCCUCUUGUCUUGCAGGUGGCUGUGUCCAGUUGUGCAUCUGGUAAUUGUAUCUCUAGAUGUGUGUUCAGUCAUUUAAGGGAAUGAAACAAAUAAAUUCAACAAAAACCAUCUACAUGAGAGGAAGGAGGAGGGAAAGUUUUUCAAAAUACUAUGUAAUAUAUAUGUUCAUGUAACAAUGUUUAUAUAUGAUGUUCAGAAUUAAAAUAUUUACCUAGAGAUGUGAAUUGCAUUUUUUAAUAGUAUUGAGAAGAAAUAGUAGAAAAGGAAAAGAGGUAAAGGUUCAUUCCAAGUUUUCCACCCUGCUGUUUUCAUACCUAUUCUAGGUGACUUGCAAGCAUUUUUUUAUCAGGGUUGUUAGUUAUGGUUUUGUUUGCAAUUCUUCUGAAAUGCUUUUAAUUUUUUUGAAUGCUUCUAAAUGCCUUUCUUAUCUAUAUUCCUUGAGCUGGUUGCUUUAAGUAGAACAAAAUUUGCACCCAGAAUAUCUGCCUUUCUUUCCUGUUUCCUAGAGUGAGUAUAUAUGUACCCAUUUUUCCUUAGGGCAGGGAAGGAAGAUAAGCUUGGUGUUUCAACACGAAUGGCAAUGAGGCUACAAGUUUUUCAGCAAUGUAUAAAUGCAUUGUUAGCCUUGCACAACUUUUCAGAAAAAUCAUGUAUCAGCAGUGUUUUCAAAAAUUGCAAUAAUACUUUGCCUUAUUUGGCUGAUAAAUUAAGCUGAUAUUUUCCUCUGAAAGUGUCAACUUCCCAGAGAAAAAGGAAUGCAAAUGUCAAAUGUUACCUAAUAAUAAUAUGUAAGCACUCAUUUUCACUUCAGAUUAAGUAUUCAUUUAGGCUUUUAUUUCUUGUAGUUUAAGUAUUGCAGGUUUUUUUUUUUAUUGUAUUAGAAAGGGCUCAGUUACUGCAAUUACUAAAUUCAUUAUUUUGAAACUUCACUCAAAUGGGAUGCCAUGUGUUUCCUUCCACCCACCCUCUCUAGAGUGGAAGAAGGUGGAUCUUAUAGUGGAAAUAAGUUUAGAAAAAUUGCCCAAUGUAGUGCAACUGUUACCUCAUUUUGGCAGUUGGCAGUUUUCUUGGGUAGAUUUUAACUUGAGAGGAAUUGGAAGAAAACCAGAACCUUCCCACAUGCCAUGUGACUCCCAGAAAUAACAAUUCUGUAUUGAGCUUGUUAGGAAGAGCUAUGAGCAUCUGAGACUGGCUCACAGUGAAACAUGUUUGUUCUUCCAGGAGGAAGAAAUGAAGCCUCCGGCUAGUUAAAAACUUUUAAGCUUUUUUUCUCAAAAUGGUUCAAGUAAAUUAAGAUAAAAACUCAAGAGAUGUCUUCCAGCUCUGCUAAAUUAGAGAGAUUUUUAUUUCCCUGAAAUAAGAAAGGCCUGUACGAUGUUAUCGUGAGAUAGACUUCACCUAUUCAAAAUAGGAAUAUUUAAAACAUUUUGUUUAUUUUGGAGUAAUCAUGAUUAGGAUAGCCUAUUGUAUGAUGUGACUACUGCCAGAUGAAGGAUAACAUUCCCAGUGACUAGCAGGAAGGCCCUAGAUGGUGAAGCCUGUUUGGCAAAUGAUCUGCUCUCCCUGCAGUGGAGGUGUGUGCUGAAGCAUGCGGUGGUGCAGAAGAGUCACAGUAUCCUUGUUCGGGAGGGUAUGGGGUUGAUUGUCACUGCUUUGAGAAGAUGCUUUUAGUGGCAAUUCACAGUAUGAAAUACAGUAAUUUUCAGAAUGCAUUUCAAGUAACUCUUUGCUCUCUCUUUAGAGAAAAUUAAAGGUAAAUACAACUGAUGGAUGUUCUUGUAUCUAAUUAAAAAGUAGCUUCAAGAUGAUUUGCUGUGGUUUACCUGUCAGUUAAAAGUUCACAUUACACUUAAUCUGAAAUGAUUUCUUUAUUUGAUAUAAAUGGUGUUACUGUGGAAAAGCUUAUUCUCUGUGAAAUCUAAUAGAGUGAGUUCUAUUACAAGUAGCCAGCAUAACAAAAACCUGUUUCUUAGAAAGAAAAUAUUUGCUUUUUAAACAAAAUGCAGAAUUGUUAAACUUCUCAAAAUAAAAAUGUUAGGCAUUAUCAAGCACUCAUUUUGCACUAAAAAUAAGAAAAAAUGUUGUGUUCAGCAGCACAGCUUGUAACUUACUCUCUAUAAGCUGGUGAAGGAGUCACUAGUUUCUUUUGAUCUCUUUUUUAAAAAAAUCUUUGAUCAUGGUGCUUUGAAAGGGAAAAUAAAUUGAAAGGUUGAGGAUACAGUAUUAAAGAAUCAUAUCUUUGCUGACACAUUGCAAGUGGAGCUGGAUGCCAUGUGAAUUGUUUGACUUUGUUCAGAAAAUUACAAAGAUUGGUAUAUUUUAUUCCCACCCCCCCAAAAAAAAAAAAAGAAAAUAAACGCUAUGCAUUUUAUCUUGUGUUUCUUUCCUGGAAAGUUUUUUCUGCUUUCCUGCGCUUUUAAACAAACAUAAAACCAAAUUAAAUAUACUUGUAUAUGUAUUUAGCUCAUUCUUUGUAAAUGGAAGAGUGAAAGAUAUCUUUUGACAAUUCUGCCUGUCCAAGCUUUAGUUAUUUUGGCAUUUCUUGUAAAGUAAAACUUGGGAAUGCCACAGGGUAAUGUGGACUGAGAAGCAAAGUCCCUGUUACUUAUCGAUAAACACAAUUCAUAAAUAGGCAAAGGCAAAUGUACAAUUUUACAUUUUUUUUUAAACUUGGUAAUUUAUUUCACUUAUAUCCAAAUGUAAAUACUAUUUAAGAAUAUAUUCAGACUAAUAAUAAAUAAAUUCACUUUAUGUGAAAUAAACUCAAAAUAAAUCAGAAUUUUUAAAUGAAAAUCCAUCACAAAUAGGGAAAAAAGUAUGAUCUGUGAACUUUGUUGAUGCCCUCACUAAGAAAAAUAGCUAGUAAUUAGAAGGUUGAUGCAUUAAUUAUUUCCCCUCUAAAAAAUCCAAGAUAUUCAGUUGUGUUUAUACAACACAUUACAGAUGAAUGACUGAGUACUUCUGAAAUUUUCUGUUCAGUAUUAUAAUUCCUCAUGCUUUGUUUGGUCUUAAACCAGCAGAUGGCAUUUGUUACUCCAUUUAAGUGCAGACUAACAUAUAUUUUGUAAACACGGCGUAAUUAACUUCAGCAUAUUAUAAAGAAAUCUUGUUUUCUGAGUUGUGUUUCUGAUGCCUCUGCAGUUGUGCAAGUUCCUGUAGUUGAGAUUCCACAUACUUAGCACAAGGUGUGCUGGGCAAACUCCGAAAUGCCCUCUUACACAUUCUACAGCCUCUUGCCCUGUGGCCAGAAGCAUCCUCCCUACUUUUUGGGGUUUAAUGCCUGUGUUCCACUGUAGCUGCUGUGGGGGACAGGGAGUGUUUCACUUGCUCCUCUGUUUGUGGGGCUGAGCAGGCUGGUGGGAGUGGAGGGAGCAGGGCUCUCUUAGGGCAGCCUGUAGUCUGGUGAGGCAUUGGAAUGAGGGGCUGUGAGUCGUGAGUGCAUCUCUGCAGCACAUGGCCAAAUUUUCAUUCUUCAGACUGUACUUUAUGAAAGCUGCUACUGUAUUCUAAUUUGCACUCUGUACUACUUCAGUCUAUGAAAAAGCACUUCCAAUAGAGUUACUUUGGGUUUGCUUUCUUUCUUAUUUGGAUAUUUUUCUAAUUAAACCUAAAUGUCAUAUAAUGAAGGAACACUUCAGUUUUGGAGGAAAACAAAGGUAUGAAUUUAAAAUACUUAGCUCAAGGUGGAGUAAUUUGGCUUGGGUUAUUCUUUCCCCUAGUGUGCUGGUGAUUUAAAAUGCUUUAAGAUUGGCUUUCUGAAAGUGUUACUAAAAUGUCUCUGGUUACUCUAGUAUUUAGCAUUCUGGUCUUUUACUGUACAGUACAGAUCUGAUAGUGAAGUGUAGCUGCUAAUAUAGUGAAUAAUUUUUGCCAGCAAGACUUCAGUUUAGGUGAAAGCUGUCCUUUCUCCUAGUUUCUCUUAAUUUUUGACAUAGGAUAAUGGGAGGAACUAUCUGUAAAUAUGACUCCAGAUCUCUCAGGGAUAAUAAUUUGUUAUGUGCAGCACUCUGAUUCAUAAUACUAAAUGUGUCCUAGGAAGGGGUUUUCGAACCCAAGUGUGCCUCGUAAGGAGCAGUUCCUUACAAGUUCCUUUAGCUAAGAAGCUAAACCAAGGAAAGAUAGACCAAACUUGCAGAUUUUGGAAAAAGUAGAGCUCUUCUACCCAAAGCUUCCUGUAGCCAAGAUCCUGUCCACAGCAGCUUCACACCUGCAGGAGCCUUUAAGGUUCCUGUGAGAGCCAGGUCUUCAGCAUCCUUGCUCUGAUAGAGAAUGGCCAGAAUGGAAGCAGGGAGCUUCUCCUUCAGCCCGGUCAGAUACUGAGUAAAAUGCCUGCAUGGUUCUUCUUUACUCAUUUUGGAUCAAUAACCCAUUAAUGGUUAAUAUUAAUCAACAGUAAUUAGUUUGAUAUAAAUUAAGUGAACCAAAACCUUUAUUUGCUGUUAGGUUUUUCAGAGAGGCAAAGCAAAUGAGUUCAUGCUAAAUUGCUUCACAAUUUAACCUUGGAUUUUAAUUUUAAAAGUCUAUACACUUACAUGUUUUUUCUAGACUUCAUUGGUUCAAAAGUAGAAACAGCUUACUCCUGGCAGACUACUAUUUUGUGUAACUGUAGCAAAAAGCACUUACAUAGGUACUUUCUCUUUUGCUGCAAAGUAACAGAGUUUGUACAAAACUUCUGAUUGGCUGUUGAACUACUGUAACUUGUGCUAGCAGGUAACUGCAGAGGGUUAUUUGGACAGUGUGUGAUUUGGAAGGGCAUGGACACCAAGCACAUUUCACCUUUCAGAUCAGUACUUUCAGUUCUCUUGUACUCAUGUGAAAGCAGCUGUUGCAAAGAUGGUUCCUGGCUAACCUUUGUUUUAUUAUGGAGCAAUUGUAUGAUUUUUAUUCACAUUCUGCCAACGCUGAUCUUGCAGUCUGAACUAUCGUAUUGGCAAGCAUCAGUGAGCACAGCACCUUGAGGUAGCCUGUGAGAAAAGCAUGGAGCAAGGUGAUGUCUUAGGAGAGAAAUCCAGUUGUCUUUGGAAAAUUGAACAGUUUUCUUGAAGAUUUGCCUUUUGUACUGAGAGUUCUCUGUCCCCUCCUUGUCAGCGCUAGAUUUGGGACUGUGACUACAAGGUAUUUGAUUUCAAAAAGACCAGAUAAUGUGUUGGUAGAAAUGAGGAAAUCUGUUCGAUCUGCUGCCAGGGUAUGUGUCCACAGAAAAUCACAACAUCUUAGAUGAUGAAUUUGUCAAAUUUUGACAAGAAAACUGGUGAGAAGAGUAAGAACUUCCAGCUUACAUAUGAAAAAUCAGAUUCUGAAUUUGAUGUUCUUUUUUUUUCUGCACGUUCUCACUUAUUUUUUUAUUCAUUUUUGUAUCAUCACAGUUAACAAGUAAAUGAUGCUGUUAGACCAUGUAAGCUUAAAUUAAUGCUUCCUGAUGAGAGCUGAAGGUAUUAGAUGUGUGCUGCAGUUAAACUCGUGUACAGUAGAUGCCAGUAGAGACCUACUGAGUCAAAAUAGAAAUAUGAUCAGUGUUUCCAUAGUAACAACUUCCUCCUGGCAGUCCUAUUUAUAGCAGUGCUGCAGUCCCAGCCUCAGUGCAGCUCUCGGAGGGACUCUCUAGGAAGGGUUAACCUUGUUAGAAAAAAUGUAGGCAUAGAGGCACACUAAAACCGUAUGGGUUUGCUUUCUUUUGUUUCAUUAAACAAAGAAGUUACUGAUUGUGUUUAUUUUCUUUUUGUAUGUUUUGAAAAAUCUUUGUUUCAAAAUGGAGAACCAUUAAAGCUGUAAGCUGUGAGCAAAUACUGCUCCUCCUUGUGUGUGUUUAAGAAGAAAUGCAGCCCAGUGGAACAGUGCUGGAUGUACAGUGAAAAUCAAAACACAUCUGCUUUUUCAAGAGCCUUUUUCUGUCUCUCUUUCUACCCAUAAUUCCUUCUGAAAUAUGCAUGCCUGGCAAGACUCAAAAUGGAUUGUGUUCAAUUACAUAAUUUUGGAUGAAAAUGUAGGGGGGGGUUUAAGUUACAAAAGGGCUAUCUGUGUACUUGUUUUACAUCCUUUUCUUUCAAGGUUUAUAUAACAAUUAGAAAAAUACCACACAUAUUGCCUAAGGCUUAUAGGACAGACAUUAGAUUUUUUAGUAUACAUAGUGUAAAAGGUUUGAGUCAUUAAAUGCUUCUAAACUUUUGUAUUUACUAAUUCAAAAUUAGAUACUUAAAUUGUUUUCUUUUUAUGAAACGUGUUGGCUUCAUCUUUCAAUUUACAAACACCUUAUUGGUCAAUAACAGACCAGCAAAAUUUGUCAAGAUCCCCAAGCUCUUAAAAAUGGAGGAUCCCUCACUAACACUUUGUAUCAAGUAAUUGCUCAUUCCUUUUGUAAUAAAUAAUAAAUGCUGAA